ACCAAAACAGAGAAAAAACGUGGAGAUCAGACGUGAAAGGUGGAGGGUUUUGUCAACUUUACAUACCUCGGCAACAUAGCAAGCAACAAUGGAGGAACAUGUGAAGACAUUGAACCCAUGUAACGGCAAUCCAAAGGAAAAGAAAAGAAAUAAGCCUUGACUACCGGUGAAAAUUAUAUGAAGGUUUUGUAGAACCACCGCCAUUCAUCCAAGGAUGAAAAGAAAACUGACAUGAAGGAAACGGAAGCCACCAGGCAAGUGAUACAGCCCAUAUAAAUGUGCCCUUGAAAAUACAAAGAUGAGUAGAAAACAUAACGGGAGUCUCUAUGUACAGCACGAAUUCUAAUAUGAAAAAUGUAUCUGAAUUCUGAAGUACAAUGAAAAAAAUUAUAACACGAAACAUCAAGGAGCUACAGAUCGAACUCUCUUCUGUAAAAUGGCUUCUAUGAGAGAGAGAGAGAGAGAGAGAGAGAGAGAGAGAGAGAGAGAGAGAGAGACUUGUGUUAAGUUCUUGUUCUUACAUAGCAUAUUGUUUUUUAGGUGAUUGAUAAAAUUGUAUGAUUUCCCACCAUUGAUUUUGGAGUUGUCAUUUACUUGCCGAAGGACCUCCCCACUUUAGCUGUAGCUUGUGGU
Long non-coding RNA from Ostrea edulis (European flat oyster), 633 nucleotides. RefSeq lists it as uncharacterized. NCBI's taxonomy places the organism in Eukaryota, Metazoa, Mollusca, Bivalvia, Ostreida, Ostreidae. The transcript has 3 exons. The record is from RefSeq and is a predicted model, not a curated record.